Chelonia mydas (Green sea turtle) is the source of this 1510-nucleotide long non-coding RNA. RefSeq lists it as uncharacterized. The record is from RefSeq and is a predicted model, not a curated record. The transcript is spliced from 3 exons. NCBI's taxonomy places the organism in Eukaryota, Metazoa, Chordata, Testudines, Cheloniidae.
ACUAAAAAAACAAUAGAUUCAGAGAAACCGUUUUCGCCCACUAUAACGAUUCUGGUCACAAAGCAGAGCUGGUGCCGCCUAUCUGUCAGCACUCCGCUUUACACGCUGGGUUUGUUGAUUAUAAAAUGGUGACAGUCCCAAAUAUCUGUCCCCCGAAAUAAUGAAGUUGAAACACAUGAAAGAAAGUAAUCGAAGUGAUGUUUCGCUACGUUAUACUUUGAAAGAGAGACAUCUCUUCGCCUGCUGGAGCCCGACGGGUGCGCAAGUGGAACGAGACGCCCGGGAGGGCGAUGCGCACGGGUUAUGCCGAGAUGAUGCCGCUUUUGCCACAUGCGCGGAACCAGUGAUGUGAACAGACGGCUUUUAGCCCCCAUUCACCGUACAACAGCCGAGAGAGUGUUGAACAUGAAACACCUGAGGUCAGAUUUGCAGAAGUGCUGAGCACUCACAACUUCACCUGAAGUCAAUUGACACUGUAUUUUGAGCAUAUAAUGUCCUAUUAAAAUGGUUCUCAAAAGCAACUAAACAGUUUGGACUCACCAUCAGUCUGGAAAAAAACGAAGUCCUCUUCCAAACAGUCCCAUCAACCACUAUCACAGAGCAAACGUCACCAUUGAUAGUACAAAACUAAUGCACAUCAAUCACUUUACAUACCUUGGCAGUACCAUCUCAAGUGACAGUUGCUUGGAUCAAGAAAUAUCAAAUAGAAUCUGAAAGGCAAGCCUGGCUUUUCGAAGACUUCGCUAUAGGAUACUCAGCUGUAUACCAACAAACUGUCAAUAAAACUGAGGUACAAUUCAGCUGUCAGAGCAUCUCUUUUAUACAGACGUGAAACAUGGAUAAUUUACCCCAGACACAUCAAACAACUUGAAAAAUUUCACAUGUGCUGUGUUUGCUCUGUUUUGAAGGUCCAAAAGUGUAAAUCAUUAUCAUCCUGGAAAGAACAAAACCAACCAGCAUUGAGGCAAUGAUCAGGAAAACUCAGCUUAGAUGGACAGGUCAUGUUAUCAGAAUGGGUGGUGAUUGAGUCCCACAAAAAGUCCUCUAUGGUAAGCUGAAACUCAGACAGCACAGAAAUAGUGGUCAACAUAAACACUUGAAAGACGCCCUUACGUAGAAUCUCAACUUGCGUGACAUGGAUAUAGAUAACCUUGAAGACACAGCCCAGGACAGAACUGAAUGGAGAGCAACUAUCAAUAAAGAAUAUAAACACUUUGGGAAAACAGACAUGAAAAAAUGAUUGAAAAAAGGGCUAAGCGCUAUGUCAAGUCUUCAACAGGAGCCUACACAUGCCUACAUAUGUAUUAUUAUAUGUGAGAUGCUGUGAUGUCAUUUUUAGAUAUGAUGGACAGGUGUACAAUGUUGCUUAUUAUGGGUAAAAUUUUCAAACGUGCCUAAGUGACGUGGGAUAUGUCUACGUGCGCAGGUGCCAACUCCGUGGGUGCUCUGCAGGGCAGGAGUCCUGGGGGCGGGGCCGGGCCACAACCCCCUCGUGGGGUGAGGAGGGAAC